RNAcentral lists this transfer RNA (68 nucleotides) under Marmota monax (woodchuck). Its description in RNAcentral is "tRNA.Ala". The record is from RNAcentral. Lineage: Eukaryota; Metazoa; Chordata; Mammalia; Rodentia; Sciuridae.
GCUAUAGCUCAGUGGUAGAGCACCUGCCAAGCAUGUACAAGGCCCUGGGUUCCAUCCCUAGUGCUGCA